Molecule: ribosomal RNA, 481 nt
Filed under: uncultured bacterium
Lineage: Bacteria
Description: partial 16S ribosomal RNA
Rfam family: Bacterial small subunit ribosomal RNA
Source: RNAcentral
GAUGAACGCUGGCGGCGUGCUUAACACAUGCAAGUCGAACGAAGCACUUUAUUUGAUUUCCUUCGGGACUGAUUAUUUUGUGACUGAGUGGCGGACGGGUGAGUAACGCGUGGGUAACCUGCCUUGUACAGGGGGAUAACAGUUGGAAACGGCUGCUAAUACCGCAUAAGCGCACAGCAUCGCAUGAUGCAGUGGGAAAAACUCCGGUGGUAUAAGAUGGACCCGCGUUGGAUUAGCUAGUUGGUGAGGUAACGGCCCACCAAGGCGACGAUCCAUAGCCGACCUGAGAGGGUGACCGGCCACAUUGGGACUGAGACACGGCCCAAACUCCUACGGGAGGCAGCAGUGGGGAAUAUUGCACAAUGGGCGAAAGCCUGAUGCAGCGACGCCGCGUGAGCGAAGAAGUAUUUCGGUAUGUAAAGCUCUAUCAGCAGGGAAGAUAAUGACGGUACCUGACUAAGAAGCACCGGCUAAAUACGUG